RNAcentral lists this ribosomal RNA (495 nucleotides) under uncultured bacterium. Its description in RNAcentral is "partial 16S ribosomal RNA". It matches the Rfam family "Bacterial small subunit ribosomal RNA", at positions 28 to 507 of the family's 1533-position model. The record is from RNAcentral.
GACGAACGCUGGCGGCGUGCCUAAUACAUGCAAGUAGAACGCUGAAGGAGGAGCUUGCUUCUCUGGACGAGUUGCGAACGGGUGAGUAACGCGUAGGUAACCUGCCUGGUAGCGGGGGAUAACUAUUGGAAACGAUAGCUAAUACCGCAUAAUAGUAGAUGUUGCAUGACAUUUGCUUAAAAGGUGCAAUUGCAUCACUACCAGAUGGACCUGCGUUGUAUUAGCUAGUUGGUGGGGUAACGGCUCACCAAGGCGACGAUACAUAGCCGACCUGAGAGGGUGAUCGGCCACACUGGGACUGAGACACGGCCCAGACUCCUACGGGAGGCAGCAGUAGGGAAUCUUCGGCAAUGGACGGAAGUCUGACCGAGCAACGCCGCGUGAGUGAAGAAGGUUUUCGGAUCGUAAAGCUCUGUUGUAAGAGAAGAACGAGUGUGAGAGUGGAAAGUUCACACUGUGACGGUAGCUUACCAGAAAGGGACGGCUAACUACGUG